AAUUUGGGUAGUUUAAAAAACAUUACACUUUCAUUGUAAAAUUAGAAAAAUAUUUCUCUCAAAUAU
This 66-nucleotide transfer RNA is filed under the name Dichotrachelus manueli. Its description in RNAcentral is "tRNA-Glu". It matches the Rfam family "tRNA". Rfam says of the family: Transfer RNA (tRNA) molecules are approximately 80 nucleotides in length. Their secondary structure includes four short double-helical elements and three loops (D, anti-codon, and T loops). Further hydrogen bonds mediate the characteristic L-shaped molecular structure. tRNAs have two regions of fundamental functional importance: the anti-codon, which is responsible for specific mRNA codon recognition, and the 3' end, to which the tRNAs corresponding amino acid is attached (by aminoacyl-tRNA synthetases). tRNAs cope with the degeneracy of the genetic code in two manners: having more than one tRNA (with a specific anti-codon) for a particular amino acid; and 'wobble' base-pairing, i.e. permitting non-standard base-pairing at the 3rd anti-codon position. Lineage: Eukaryota; Metazoa; Arthropoda; Insecta; Coleoptera; Curculionidae. The record is from RNAcentral.